RNAcentral lists this unclassified non-coding RNA (657 nucleotides) under Hevea brasiliensis (rubber tree). Lineage: Eukaryota; Viridiplantae; Streptophyta; Magnoliopsida; Malpighiales; Euphorbiaceae. The record is from RNAcentral.
AAACCACCUUUACCCAACUUCCUCUCUACUUUAUAUACAGGGGAAUUACCUACCUGAACCCGUUCGGGAACAGGAGCUGCAGCUUCGUCGUCAGCUCCCAAUAUCUUUUCUCCGCUACCUCCCUCCAUCACCAAAUCCCUAUCGGCGACACCCUCUGCAGCCUCGUUCAAAGCAAAGUCUUGGGCACCCUCAACGGCAACUUCACGCAAGAUUUCAGCAGGCUGAUCAGGGUCUAAAUCAAUAAGCCGAAUACCUCUUCCUCUGCCACCAACUGCAGGCCUAGAAGGUUUUGUUGCUACUGCUGCUUUUAUUAGUGCUCCAGCAUUAGAAGUCCUUCCUCUUCCUGCACCAAUCCGCCUACCUGUUCUGUUCGGCGCAGGCAGGACCCAAUUCUCAGGUUGUUCAAAUGGUUGUGGCGGGAGGGGAAUGUCAUCAAGCUUCUUGGAUUUCAACCGAGCUUGCCGGGCUCCACUUCUCAACUGUGGCAUCCUCUCCCCAUGCAAAUCACGUUGAACUAUAUUCCUGGAAAUCCCUUCCGAUGAUCGUGCGAUGAUGUUGCGGCAGCGAUGGGCGGCAUUACACGGGCGGCGCCACCUCGUGCGGCGGAGACCGUUGCAUGUGAGGGCGGAGGGGAAAAUGUGUGUGUUGUCCUCUGAG